This 469-nucleotide ribosomal RNA is filed under the name uncultured bacterium. RNAcentral's name for it is "partial 16S ribosomal RNA". It matches the Rfam family "Bacterial small subunit ribosomal RNA", at positions 28 to 507 of the family's 1533-position model. The record is from RNAcentral.
GACGAACGCUGGCGGCGUGCUUAACACAUGCAAGUCGAACGGAAAGGCCCUGCUUGCAGGGUGCUCGAGUGGCGAACGGGUGAGUAACACGUGGGUGAUCUGCCCCUUACUUUGGGAUAAGCCUGGGAAACUGGGUCUAAUACUGGAUAGGACCAUGCUGUAGGUGGUGUGGUGGAAAGAUUAGUUUCGGUAAGGGAUGAGCUCGCGGCCUAUCAGCUUGUUGGUGGGGUAAUGGCCUACCAAGGCGUCGACGGGUAGCCGGCCUGAGAGGGUGGACGGCCACAUUGGGACUGAGGUACGGCCCAGACUCCUACGGGAGGCAGCAGUGGGGAAUAUUGCAGAAUGGGGGCAAGCCGGAUGCAGCGACGCCGCGGGGGGGAUGACGGCCUUCGGGUUGUAAACUCCUUUCAGCCAUGACGAAGCCCUUGUGGUGACGGUAGUGGUAGAAGAAGCACCGGCUAACUACGUG